RNAcentral lists this ribosomal RNA (468 nucleotides) under Bactrocera cognata. RNAcentral describes it as "partial 16S ribosomal RNA". Lineage: Eukaryota; Metazoa; Arthropoda; Insecta; Diptera; Tephritidae. The record is from RNAcentral.
UAGUUUUUUUAGAAAUAAAUUUAAUUUACAAAUUUUUGAUUUUUUAGUUAUUUAUUUAAUUGAAAAAUUUAUUUAUUUGAAUAUUUUAAGGGAUAAGCUUUAAAAUAAAUUAUUAAAAAUUAAUAGUGGUAAUAUAAAAUGUAUGCUUAGAAUUAGCAAUCAUUAUAAAGUUUGUUAUAAAUUAUUUUAUAAAUUAUAUUAUUUAUUAUAUUUUAAUUUAUUUAUAAAAAUUUUUUUAUUAAUUAUAUAUAAAAAGGAAUAAUGAUAGAAUUAGUAUAUUUUUUUGUUUAUGUAAUUUUAUGUGAUAAGUUUGUAUAAAGAACUCGGCAAAAAUUUUACCCGCCUGUUUAACAAAAACAUGUCUUUUUGAGUUAUUUUUAAAGUCUGACCUGCCCACUGAAAUUAUUUAAAUGGCCGCAGUAUUCUAACUGUGCAAAGGUAGCAUAAUCAUUAGUCUUUUAAUUGAAG